RNAcentral lists this unclassified non-coding RNA (380 nucleotides) under uncultured Gemmatimonadaceae bacterium. Its description in RNAcentral is "contains 16S-23S intergenic spacer region". The record is from RNAcentral. Lineage: Bacteria; Pseudomonadati; Gemmatimonadota; Gemmatimonadia; Gemmatimonadales; Gemmatimonadaceae.
UCCGGUUUGGCACCGGCAGUCGGACUAGAGUCCCCGACAUGACUCGCUGGCAACUAGUCCCAAGGGUUGCGCUCGUUGCGGGACUUAACCCAACAUCUCACGACACGAGCUGACGACAGCCAUGCAGCACCUGUGCACGGGCUCCGAAGAGCCCCCCAGGUUUCCCUAGAGGUCCCCGUGCAUGUCAAGCCCAGGUAAGGUUCUUCGCGUUGCGUCGAAUUAAACCACAUGCUCCACCGCUUGUGCGGGCCCCCGUCAAUUCCUUUGAGUUUCAGCCUUGCGGCCGUACUCCCCAGGCGGGGCACUUAAUGCGUUAGCGCCGACCCUCACGGGGUCGCUCCCCCAAGGAUCUAGUGCCCAUCGUUUACGGCGUGGACUAC